Molecule: ribosomal RNA, 320 nt
Filed under: uncultured bacterium
Lineage: Bacteria
Description: bacterial SSU rRNA
Rfam family: Bacterial small subunit ribosomal RNA
Source: RNAcentral
UGACGGUACCUGACUAAGAAGCCCCGGCUAACUACGUGCCAGCAGCCGCGGUAAUACGUAGGGGGCAAGCGUUAUCCGGAUUUACUGGGUGUAAAGGGAGCGUAGACGGCUUAGCAAGUCUGAUGUGAAAGGCAGGGGCUCAACUCCUGGACUGCAUUGGAAACUGUUAAGCUGGAGUGCCGGAGAGGUAAGCGGAAUUCCUAGUGUAGCGGUGAAAUGCGUAGAUAUUAGGAGGAACACCAGUGGCGAAGGCGGCUUACUGGACGGUAACUGACGUUGAGGCUCGAAAGCGUGGGGAGCAAACAGGAUUAGAUACCCUG